Long non-coding RNA from Thalassophryne amazonica, 344 nucleotides. RefSeq lists it as uncharacterized. The record is from RefSeq and is a predicted model, not a curated record. NCBI's taxonomy places the organism in Eukaryota, Metazoa, Chordata, Actinopteri, Batrachoidiformes, Batrachoididae. The transcript is spliced from 3 exons.
AUUUUUUUCAUUCAUGGUUAGUGAUUGGGUGAAGCCAUUUAUUGGCAAACAACAGUGUUUACUCUUUUCAGAUCAUACUGACAACAGAAACCACCCAAAUGAACAUGAUCAAAAGUUUACACAAUUCUUAAUAUGGUGCAUUGCCCCCUUUAACAUCAAUGACAGCUUGGAGUCUUUUGUGGUAGUUGUGGACAAGGCUCUCUGAUGGUAAAGCUGCCACUGAAUAUGUUUUGGACUUUAUUUACAUCGAUUAUGAAGGAAUACAAACAAUAUAGCAUUCUAUGGUAAAUCUGCAUGGAGUAGACAGUUCUCAAAAACUGAGUGACUGUGCAAGAAAUAGAAGA